AUUGAACGCUGGCGGCAGGCCUAACACAUGCCAGUCGAGCGGAUGAAGGGAGCUUGCUCCUGGAUUCAGCGGCGGACGGGUGAGUAAUGCCUAGGAAUCUGCCUGGUAGUGGGGGAUAACGUCCGGAAACGGGCGCUAAUACCGCAUACGUCCUGAGGGAGAAAGUGGGGGAUCUUCGGACCUCACGCUAUCAGAUGAGCCUAGGUCGGAUUAGCUAGUUGGUGGGGUAAAGGCCUACCAAGGCGACGAUCCGUAACUGGUCUGAGAGGAUGAUCAGUCACACAGGAACUGAGACACGGUCCAGACUCCUACGGGAGGCAGCAGUGGGGAAUAUUGGACAAUGGGCGAAAGCCUGAUCCAGCCAUGCCGCGUGUGUGAAGAAGGUCUUCGGAUUGUAAAGCACUUUAAGUUGGGAGGAAGGGCAGUAAGUUAAUACCUUGCUGUUUUGACGUUACCAACAGAAUAAGCACCGGCUAACUUCGUG
This 484-nucleotide ribosomal RNA is filed under the name uncultured bacterium. RNAcentral's name for it is "partial 16S ribosomal RNA". It matches the Rfam family "Bacterial small subunit ribosomal RNA", at positions 30 to 507 of the family's 1533-position model. The record is from RNAcentral.